UGGCUCAGACAGUAGAGCGUCUGCCUGCAAUGUGGGAGACCCAGGUUCGAUCCCUGG
RNAcentral lists this transfer RNA (57 nucleotides) under Ovis aries (sheep). It matches the Rfam family "tRNA", at positions 8 to 63 of the family's 71-position model. Rfam says of the family: Transfer RNA (tRNA) molecules are approximately 80 nucleotides in length. Their secondary structure includes four short double-helical elements and three loops (D, anti-codon, and T loops). Lineage: Eukaryota; Metazoa; Chordata; Mammalia; Artiodactyla; Bovidae. The record is from Rfam by way of RNAcentral.